GGGGAACUUCCAACAGGCUGAUCCGGGAAGAGGCUUUGCCUGUUCCAAGCUUUGCAUUCUGUGGGGCCAACACAACGCGUAGCAUUUUCCCGUCAGACCUCUACAUAUGUGUUCGAGAAGACGCCUUUCAGUUUAAAGAAGCCACUUUGUUCAUCAGAGUCCUGCACAGGAACGUGGAGGUGACCUGAGGAGAAGGCUCUGCACAGAAUGGGGCCAUGCCUGGAAAGAUGGAUGGCCUUCAAGCAAUCUCUCCUGACACAUCCUGACAGUGUAUAUACUGUCCCGCUCCACCUACCUGGGAUGGGCCUCCCCCCAAAGGUGAUAUUGACGUCAUAGUCGCCGGGCGUGAAGGGGAUGUAAUCCACAGUGCAGCUCCCAUCUUUGUUAUCCUUGCACGACAUUUUGGCCUCCGACGGCCCUUCAAUGGCCAGACCGAGGCCACCGGUUCCUGCGCCCCUGUGGAGGCAACCGUGCCAUCAGAGAGACCCACCGCAGAACAGACUCCCACCAGGAAAAGUCUGUUCCCAUUUCUAGCAGGCACCAAACCCAGUGCUGAGGGAUACACACCCUGGCAUCCAGCCCAGCAAUAUUUAGAAAGCCGGCAAAGCCCUGAAAUGUAGGAAAGGUCUCAUCACUCAUUGGCAGAGGGCAUGCUUUGUAUGCAGAAGGAACCAGGUUCAAUCCCCAGAUUAAAACGAAAACAACAAAAAAUGGCACCAUGUGUUUAAAAAUACUUCCUUCUGCCUGCCCUGAACCACCAGUUUCAUGGGUGACCAGGAGUUCUUGUAUUAUAAGAGAGAGACUACCAUCUAUCUGUGUCAGGGAUGGGAAACCUGCCCCCCCCCAAAGUGAUGCUGAGCUCCAACCUCUAUCCACCCCUGCAAAGAUGGCCAAUGGCCAAGGAUCAUGGGUGUCGGAGUCCAACAAGAUAUGAAGGGCUACAGGCUCCCCAACCCUGACCUCCAUUCAUCAGUGAGAAGCCCUUGGAUAAAUCCCUCACCCAGACGUCUUUUCUAAAAGCUCAAAUUCUCUGUGCGACAUGCUGUGGCCUACCGUACAAGGCAGGCAGGUGUUUCGAAUGGCCAAGACUGACAACAGCCGCUGAGGAGGGCGCACAGUCCCAUGGAGAAGGCCCCAGGUCCAGUACCCACUUAAAAGAUCUUGGGUUGUAGGCAAAGGGGAAGACCCUUCAGUGCCUGAGCUCCUGAAGAACUGCUGCCAGUCAGAGCAGGCCAUGGGAGGUGAACCUCAUCCCUAAGGGCCAAAUGUGGCCCUCCAGGUCUCUCUUGCUGGCCCUUCUCACUCAACUCUCCUCACGCCGCACUCCUCAUCGGUC
Molecule: long non-coding RNA, 1336 nt
Organism: Rhineura floridana
Lineage: Eukaryota; Metazoa; Chordata; Lepidosauria; Squamata; Rhineuridae
Exons: 3
Source: RefSeq, a predicted model, not a curated record